GCGCCCAUAGCUCAACUGGAUAGAGCGUUUGACUACGGAUCAAAAGGUUGUGGAUUCGAUUUCUGCUGGGCGCGCCA
This 77-nucleotide transfer RNA is filed under the name Anaerorhabdus sp. RNAcentral's name for it is "tRNA-Arg". It matches the Rfam family "tRNA". From Rfam's summary of the family: Transfer RNA (tRNA) molecules are approximately 80 nucleotides in length. Their secondary structure includes four short double-helical elements and three loops (D, anti-codon, and T loops). Lineage: Bacteria; Bacillati; Bacillota; Erysipelotrichia; Erysipelotrichales; Erysipelotrichaceae. The record is from RNAcentral. RNAcentral also lists the same sequence under 1 other name.